UACGUAGGGUGCGAGCGUUGCCCGGAUUUAUUGGGCGUAAAGGGCGCGUAGGCGGUCACGCACGUCCGUUGUGAAAUCGCUCGGCUCAACUGGGCGGGGUCAGCGGAUACGGUGUGACUGGAGCAAGCUAGGGGGCAAUGGAAUUCCCGGUGUAGUGGUGGAAUGCGUAGAUAUCGGGAGGAACACCAGUGGCGAAGGCGGUUGCCUGGAGCUUUGCUGACACUGAUGCGCGAGAGCGUGGGGAGCGAUCCGG
RNAcentral lists this ribosomal RNA (253 nucleotides) under uncultured bacterium. RNAcentral describes it as "partial 16S ribosomal RNA". It matches the Rfam family "Bacterial small subunit ribosomal RNA", at positions 524 to 776 of the family's 1533-position model. The record is from RNAcentral.